RNAcentral lists this long non-coding RNA (260 nucleotides) under Gossypium raimondii (Peruvian cotton). RNAcentral describes it as "long non-coding RNA (GRAI_LNC000398)". The record is from RNAcentral. Lineage: Eukaryota; Viridiplantae; Streptophyta; Magnoliopsida; Malvales; Malvaceae.
UUAAAUUUAUUCUAUAAAUGAUAGUUCAUUUAUGAGUGGUCAAGUUACUGGUGUCAUUGUCGGGGAGGUUUUGGCAAUAAAAUUUGAAAAUAAUUUUUUACAAUUAAUAAGAUAAGUAGGAACGCUAGGACCUAAAGAUACAAUUUUUAUUUUUUAUUUUUUUAUUUUCUUUCAGGUCGUUUAUGACCCGAAGCUCUAGCAUUCUGAUUCAAACUUACCUAGAUUCAGAGCAACUACUCAAGCGCAACCGUCAAUUAAUG